GGAUGUUUCAGCUCCUUCCUCACUUCCACCACAAUGCAGCACCAUGCCUCCUCCAGGGGCCUCUCAACAAGUGUUCUCCUUUAGGGCUGGCAUGCAUGUGCCCAACUUGCUCACUGAACAGACUACCUUGGCCUGCUCAGCUACUCACCCUUGACACCUUCAUCAAGCACUGGUGCUCUGCUCAGCCCAGGGUCCCACAGCUCCUGUGUCCACACUCUCAUAGAACCUAAGCCAGAAGCAGGAACCUUCUGCAUAACCACGAAUCCUCAGGUGAUUCCUUUUGAGAAUUCUGGGGGAUGGACAGAGGAAACGAAAGCAAAUUUCCACAACCAAAGAGGGUAAAUAUUAUAGGCAUCUGGAGCACCUUUGGAAGCUGGUGAAGGAGAUAUACCAGAGUGUGGGUGGUUUCUAGCACCUUCAUAUCAGUCCAUGUCGGCUGCUGCUAGAAGCUGGCACUGUGUUCAAAUUAUAAAUCACCCAAUAAACCACGACAAAGGAAAACAUUGGCAAGCCACCUCCAGCUGGGUGAUGAAGGCUUUAUGAAGAGAAGAUUCUUACCUGUGCUUAAGGAAUAUGGGAGCGUCUUUCAGAAAACUGGAGGGAACGCCAUCCCUGGACACAACUGGAUUUGUCUGCCAUGUGUUGGCAUGCCUGGGGGCCUUUCACCUCGGGGUUCCAUGAUUUGGGACAGAUUUCAUGGUGGGCUCUGUUGAAUAGGAAAUAUACUGUUGGAAAUAAGACAGGACAGAAGCCUUCCAGCUCCAUCAUUCUGAGCUUUUCCUAGGUUCACACUGGGUUUUUUGAGCUCCCAAAUGCUGUAUCACAGUGAACUCAUAUGGAAAGGCAAACCUUCUUAUCCUGAACUGUAUGGGUCAAAUACUUCCUUCAAGGCAGACUCAAAUGCUGGGAGGAUCCCUCCCUCCUCUCUUCCUCUCCAAUUUCGGCCUCCUGACGUCAGUGAAGCUUUUACUGGCCUAGACACUUUGGCCUUGGGCCCAGAAAGCAUCAUUGUGGACAGCCCAGACCUGAGGCUGAUGGCCCAGAUAAUUGGACAAUCUGGGCCCAGAUACCAGUUUCCAAAACCAAAGAGAUUUCUGUGUUGCGUGACCUAUCAUUUAAGCCAGACAGAAAAGCUUUGACAUUUCUUCUCCAUUCCCUCUUUUUAAACAAUGUAAAAUGCUGUUCCACAUCUAAUUGUACUGGAGAAAUGUGACAACUAUAAUUUUAGGCCUCAAAUGCCCACAAACAGUUUUGUAAAUCUUACAGACUCUAUUCAUCAAUAAAUUGUG
RNAcentral lists this long non-coding RNA (1289 nucleotides) under Homo sapiens (human). RNAcentral's name for it is "HSALNT0225933". Lineage: Eukaryota; Metazoa; Chordata; Mammalia; Primates; Hominidae. The record is from RNAcentral.